UGGGGAAUAUUGCACAAUGGGCGCAAGCCUGAUGCAGCAACGCCGCGUGAACGAUGAAGGUCUUCGGAUCGUAAAGUUCUGUUGCAGGGGAAGAUAAUGACGGUACCCUGUGAGGAAGCCCCGGCUAACUACGUGCCAGCAGCCGCGGUAAUACGUAGGGGGCUAGCGUUAUCCGGAUUUACUGGGCGUAAAGGGUGCGUAGGUGGUCUUUCAAGUCGGUGGGUAAAGGCUACGGCUCAACCGUAGUUAGCCUCCGAAACUGGAAGACUUGAGUGCAGGAGAAGAAAGUGGAAUUCCCAGUGUAGCGGUGAAAUGCGUAGAUAUUGGGAGGAACACCAGUAGCGAAGGCGGCUUUCUGGACUGCAACUGACACGGAGGCACGAAAGCGUGGGUAGCAAACAGG
Molecule: ribosomal RNA, 403 nt
Filed under: Verrucomicrobiota bacterium
Lineage: Bacteria; Pseudomonadati; Verrucomicrobiota
Description: Verrucomicrobia bacterium partial 16S ribosomal RNA
Rfam family: Bacterial small subunit ribosomal RNA
Source: RNAcentral